CAGAGAGUAGUUCAAUUUAGAAUACCAGCUUUGGGAGUUGGAGAUAGAGGUUUGAUUCCUUUCUUUCUGA
RNAcentral lists this transfer RNA (70 nucleotides) under Tachycineta euchrysea. RNAcentral's name for it is "tRNA-Pro". It matches the Rfam family "tRNA". From Rfam's summary of the family: Transfer RNA (tRNA) molecules are approximately 80 nucleotides in length. Their secondary structure includes four short double-helical elements and three loops (D, anti-codon, and T loops). Lineage: Eukaryota; Metazoa; Chordata; Aves; Passeriformes; Hirundinidae. The record is from RNAcentral.